This 229-nucleotide ribosomal RNA is filed under the name uncultured bacterium. RNAcentral's name for it is "partial 16S ribosomal RNA". It matches the Rfam family "Bacterial small subunit ribosomal RNA", at positions 568 to 796 of the family's 1533-position model. The record is from RNAcentral.
UACGUAGGCGGAAGAUUAAGUCAGUGGUGAAAUCCUGCAGCUUAACUGUAGAACUGUCAUUGAUACUGGUUUUCUUGAAUUUAGUUGAGGUAGGCGGAAUGUGUAAUGUAGCGGUGAAAUGCUUAGAUAUUACACAGAACACCGAUUGCGAAGGCAGCUUACUAAACUAUGAUUGACGCUGGGGUACGAAAGCGUGGGGAGCGAACAGGAUUAGAUACCCUGGUAGUCC